Molecule: ribosomal RNA, 406 nt
Filed under: uncultured bacterium
Lineage: Bacteria
Description: partial 16S ribosomal RNA
Rfam family: Bacterial small subunit ribosomal RNA
Source: RNAcentral
AUUGAACGCUGGCGGCAGGCCUAACACAUGCAAGUCGAACGAGUGGCGGACGGGUGAGUAAUGUCUGGGAAACUGCCCGAUGGAGGGGGAUAACUACUGGAAACGGUAGCUAAUACCGCAUACUAUCGGAUGUGCCCAGAUGUGAUUAGCUUGUAGGUGAGGUAACGGCUCACCGAGGCGACGAUCCCUAGCUGGUCUGAGAGGAUGACCAGUCACACUGGAACUGGGGCACGUUCCAGACUCCUACGGGAGGCAGCAGUGGGGAAUAUUGCACAAGGGGCGCAAUCCUGAGACAGCCAUGCCGCGUGGAGGAAGAAUGCCUUCGGGUUGUAAAGUACUUCCAGCGGGGAGGCUUUACCCGCAGAAGAAGCACCGGCUAACUCCGUGCCAGCAGCCGCGGUAAUAC